Molecule: small nuclear RNA, 105 nt
Organism: Gorilla gorilla gorilla (western lowland gorilla)
Lineage: Eukaryota; Metazoa; Chordata; Mammalia; Primates; Hominidae
Source: RefSeq, a predicted model, not a curated record
GCUUGUUUCAGUAGCCCAUAUACUAAAACAGGAACAAUGCAGAGAAGAUUAGCACAGCCCCCGCACAAGGCUGACACAUAAAUUCAUGAAGGAUUAGAGACAAAA